Molecule: long non-coding RNA, 9970 nt
Filed under: Salmo salar (Atlantic salmon)
Lineage: Eukaryota; Metazoa; Chordata; Actinopteri; Salmoniformes; Salmonidae
Description: lncRNA (ENSSSAG00000097079.1)
Rfam family: UnaL2 LINE 3' element (bases 7684-7737)
Source: RNAcentral
CGUAGAACGACCCUGAACGAAACCUGCGGUCAUCACCACAAUGACAACAAUUCCCAUUGUUCAUUGCGCUGACUUUCACCUAUCUAUCAACGGACAUCGCUCCUCGAGGUUCUAUGGGGGCUGUAGUUAUUUUUUUCCCACGGAAGUAUCAUCCCAUUUUCCAUAGGUUUCGCAAGGUUUGCAUUGACGGUAGUGUGCGUUUCUCUGUUGGAAGAAUUUAGUCGUUUUGGCAUGAAAUUCGUGUACAGCAGUAUUUGAAGUUUUGGAGGCAUGUCCAAGAAAAGGGGCAGAAAGCGGAGUAGCGGGGAGCUGAGUGACACCACAGUGAUGACCCCUGACCCCAACAGUCUCCUAGGAGUGAGAAUACAACACAACUGGAGGGAGAAGGGCAACCAGAGCAAAUGGAAAGGCACCGUCCUGGACCGUCUCAGUGUCAACCCCUCACUAUUCAUGGUCAAGUACGACGGGUUUGACUGCGUCUACGGCAUCGAGCUAUUCAAGGACGAAAGGGUGUCUAAUCUACAGGUCCUCACAGAGAAACUUGUCAACAACAAGAUCAAGGUUCCUCACGGGGCAGAGGAUUUGGUAGGCAAAGCGGUGGAGCACCUUUUUGAGAAGGAGGAUGGAGAGAAGAAUGAGUGGCGAGGCAUGGUCCUCUCCAGAGCUCCCAUUAUGACUAACUGGUAUUACAUCACCUAUGAGAAGGACCCAGUGCUAUACAUGUACCAGCUGUGGGACGAUUAUGCCGAGGGAGAUCUCAGGAUCUUACCUGAAGCAGAAAAUAAGCACUUGCUUCCGGCCGACCGAAAGCCAGGCGAGGAGACUGAGAGUCUUGUGGGUAAGCAGGUGGAGUAUGUUACUGACAAAGGUGUGAAGCGAACAGGCCUAGUGAUCUACCAAGUCCCUGCCAAGCCCUCUGUAUACUACAUCAAAUACGACGAUGACUUUCACAUCCAUGUCUACGACCUGGUCAAGACCACAUAGGACACUUCUUUACUCACUCCAUCGCUUACUUUUCACUUAUCCUCCUCUCUCUAUCUCUCGAACUCUCUAAAGGCCCUGGAGGGUUUAACAGUUAUGCUUUGUCAUUCAGGAAGUGCAAUCUAUUAGUCCACAUUCAAUCUAGUUCUAUGAUAUGCACAGCAGAACUGUAGCAAUGCUAUUGUAGGCCACUAGGAGGAGGGUGGGAACGUGUACACUUGGAAGGACCUUUUUACCCUCCCCACUUCUUUGGUUACCCCAUUUUGUGGUUGUGCUCCACCGUAGACUCACAUCUUGGACAGUCCAGGAGUGCACCUUGCCCUAUGACAGACUCACAUCUUGGACAGUCCAGGAGUGCACCUUGCCCUAUGACAGACUCACAUCUUGGACAGUCCAGGAGUGCACCUUGCCCUAUGACAGACUUACAGUAUAGUGCAAGAACGACCACAUUUCAAUUGUUUCUCACAUCUUGAUGCUUAAUUCAAAGCAGAACUGAAUUAUAUAUUAUAAAACUAAAAGCUGCCCCCAGUAGCCAUUCAUAUUUGUUCCUUGAAUGACCAAACAGUGAGCAUGAUGUAUAAGUGAUUAUUUGUAGAGACUAGUUUGAGCUGUUUUGUUCAGUGAAGUGUUAGCUUUGAAAGUGAAAUGCAGUAAGCUGUGAUGCCCCUGAAAGCAUCAUUACAUUUUUUUGUUGUCUUUAUUAAUAGGCAACUAACUUUGUUUGAUUUGUGUCAGUCAGUUCAUAGACAAUCAUUCCUUGAUAAACCCACAGUGCUAUCAUUGGAUUCAUAGCACUGGGUUGCACUGGCCUAGGAGUAGUGUAUAGCAGUGUUUCCCAACUCCAGUCCUCGAGUACCCCCAACAGCACACCAUUUUGUUGUUGGCCCGGACAAACUCACCUGAUUCAGCUCAUUGAGGGCUUGAUGAUUAGUUAACCAUUGGAAUCUGUGUGCUUGUCCAGGGCUACAACAAAAAUCUUUGCUGUUGGGGUUAUUGGACGACUGGAGUUGAGAAGCACUGCUGUGUGGUGAUGGUUCAAACACUAUUUUGAACUGCCUCAAAUAACACUCAUAAUGCUGAAUCAAGACUUGUUAGAAACAAGGAAUACAGGUUUUCAUAAAGUUAGGGCCGAGAGUUUUUCUUGACCACACAACCUGAUGAGUUGUCCAGAUCAGGAAAACUCCUCACCCUAACAAUACCUGACAUGUUCAAAACAUCAUCAGACUGUAUGAUUAGCUUGAGGAGUAGAAUAGAGGCAGGGCUUUACACUACAUUCUGAUCUUCAAUAGAAAAUAAACAAGCAUCAUAAAGUGCCUUCAGGCUGAUCAUGUUGCCAUACUCUAUAUGUUUGCUAACCUCUCACAAUUUUAUUCUGUUUAAUGUUAAAGCCACUAUUUGGUCAGUAUUAGUAAAAGUAAAAAAUGCUCGAAAGAAACAAAUGUGUCAAAGACUACGUGACAAGGUUGUUGCUAUUGUCGGUUUGUAUUAGAGAAUAUGUGCAAUGUUGGCAGUUAAUGCAGUAUACAAUAAUGUCCCCCAAUAUAACAUCCAUGACCAACAACAACAAGUGGUAUAUUGUAGCAAUGGUAAACCAUAAUGGUAAAACGCAUGGAGAAAAUAAAACAUUUAUGACACGGCAUACAGUAUUUCAUCUGUAACUUUAGAUUGUGUUGUAAAUGUAUGCUGUUGUGAUUACUCCCGUUAUAUUGUAAAUAUCCCAUUGAAACACCAGCUUUAAAACUCAUCUAGAAAUCUCACUUAGAGAAAUGCAGCAAAGACAGCUUCCAAAAAAUCCUUAGGCCUGGUCCCUUGAGAGGAAAAAUACAAGUUUUCACUUUUUAAUCUUAUUUUAAAGACUUGGGAGCUACACUCCAUAAUGUAAUCCCAGGAAGCCCACAAACUCCAAUGGACUGGCUAGGAGAAUUCAGAUUUACAGUCUCCUGUCCUACUCACCACUCCAGGGUAUCCAGUCCAGGGUAUCCAGUCUAUCUCUUUACACAGUACAUUGGUCCAUGGUGCAUAAGGGUCAUUGUACUUAGGCUGUGUUUAGACAGGCAGCCAAUUCUUGUUGGUGAUCUUGUUUUUCACUAAUUGGUCUUUUGACCAAUCAGAUUAGCUCUGAAAAAGAUCUGUGAAAGGAUCUGAUGUGAUUGGUCAAAAGACCAAUUAGCGAGAAAUAAAUACUGAAUUGGGCUGCCAGUAUAAAUGUAGCCUUUUAUUGUCAGAUGUGCAUGCAUAACUUGAAUGCAACCAAGCAUAUUGGUUAUGACAGUUGCAGAGGUAUAAUAUGAUAUAUCUGGCAGAUAAUUUUGUGGCAGUCUUUGCAGUCCAAUUUUAGUAAAAUAUUUAGCUAGAAAAUGUGACUGUAAAAAAAUAAAAUUGUCAGGGCUUAUCUAUAGACGGGUUAGCUGACGUCACGAAAACGAUGCGCACGCUUCAAUGGGGCAGAAGACAGUGUGUUGUGAUUCUGGAUGGUCAGAUAGCUAGCAAAAAUGUCAAGAACCUGCCACGUGGGGAAUCUGUAGGUGGCUCGUUUUACCUAGUUCUUGAUACCAUGUCUUGUUUUGAGGCGUUUUGACUGAUGUCACAUCUAUGCUAAUAUUCUGUAACGUUAUAUUUGAGGGACAAGUGUAUGGGGUCAAUUUCACGCUAUAAUUAUUGAAUUCAAAAAUAUUAAAAAAAUGUGAACAUGAAAAAUAAAGUUGGGAAUGUAAACAUAUUUUAGAGAACGGGUGAAAUAAUGGAUGUUGAAAUCAAAAACCAAACAAUUGAAAGCAAAAUGUAUAGAAUUGGAAACACAAAUAAGACAAACUUUUAAGCAAAUAAUUUUAAAGCGAGAGCAAAACUCUAUGACAAAUUAUAUAUUUUUUUUAUUUGAAAACGAAUGCAAAAAUAGUUUUCGGUUAAACUUUCAACCAAUCCUAUUGAAUACAUUUUGCCUACGCUCUUGCCUGCAUGUGCUACCUUUUUGUUACGCAACUCGUAUCUUUGCUUUCUAUGUCCGUUUCUUUGCUCUCACUGCCAGUCUUUUCGAUUGUAAGUUUUGGCAUUAUUUUUCCGUGAAGAGCGGGGUUUAGAGGGAUGCGUAGACAAUGAGUCUCCAUUGGUCCACUCGUUUUGGAUUGACGGUUCGUCUUAACCCAAUCAAUGAACAUGAUAGACAGGCUUUUUUUCUAUUACCUACUUAGGUAGACGGUCUGACGUCACCUGGUUUUAGGGUUUUAGCUAACGUACUUCAAAAUUGUCAGUCACGGGUCAAUAAUGUACGGAUAUUAGAAGCAUGUCUAUCUAAUACAUUUAAUGACAAACCAUCUAACUACUUAGGUAAACAUAUGACUUACACCUGCGCCAAACGUUGUGCAACAGGUUAUUCAUAUGUUUACCUAAGUAGUUAGAUGGUUUGUCAUUAAAUGUAUUAGAUAGACAUGCUUCUAAUAUCCAUACAUUAUUGACCCGUGACUGACAAUUUUGAAGUACGUUAGCUAAAACCAGGUGACGUCAGACGGUCUACUUAGACAAGCUUUUUUCUAUUACCUACUUAUCGUGUUCAUUGAUUGGGUUAAGACGAUCCGUCACUCCAAAACUAGUGGACCAAUGGAGACUCAUUGUCUACACCUCCCUCUAAACCCCGCUCUUCACGGAAAAAUAAUGUCAAAACUCACAAUCGAAAAGACUGGCAGUGAAAGCAAAGAAACAGCCAACAAAAGCAAAGAUACGAGUAGCGUAACCAAAAGGUAGUACAUGCAGGCAAGAGCGUAGGCAAAAUGUAUUCAACAGGAUUGGUUGCUGGGAAAGUUUAACCGAAAACAAUUUUUGCAUUCGUUUUCAAAUAUAUAUAUAUAUUUUUACCAUUUGUCAUAGUUUUCCUCUCGCUUUAAAAUGAUUUGCUUACAAGUUUUUGGCUUUUGAUGUCUCAUUUUUGUUUACAAUUCUAUACAUUUUGCUUUCAAUUGUUUGGUUUUUCAUUUCAACAUCCAUUAUUUCACCCGUCCUCGAAAAUAUGUUUACAUUCUCAACUUUAUUUUUCAUGUUGACGUUAUAUUUUAUUUUGAAUUCAAUACAUAUGGAGUGAAAUUGACCCCAUACAAGUGCUCAUUGUGCACAUUUAUGUUUUCAAUAAACAUUGGAGACAAAAUAUAGUUUGUCAAAAAUCUAAGCCAACCCUGUAUGUUUUGCCCCAUAGUUGCGUACGUGUCGGUUUUGUUGCUAAACUACCAAUCUCUUAAUGCUACUUGUAUCACCACCAUUUGUGUUGUGGUGUUUCUAUGUACAGUAAAAUGAAACUCCAAAAGAUUGUGUGCACUCUUCUGUUAUUGUUCAUCUUUUUUUUUUUUUUUUACUCCUCCCAGGUCUGGAGUUGUAGCAAUCCAUAACACAUUUGUGUAAUUGUUAUGUCAUGAGUAAUACAUUAUUUUAUUUUUUUGCACAUCCCUUUUCUCUGCCAUUUUUCACCCAUUGGAUGUGAUUUAGGUUCAGAAUGAUGUACAGUUGUGAUUUAAUUUGACUGAAACUUUUAAAAACCCCACUCCCCCCAAAGUUAUAGGACUUUGAGGCAGUAUACAUUGUAGAAUGUAAUUAAUAAUACUACUGACCCAACCUCACAUCCAAGUACUUUACCUAAGUAGGCUAUGACAUAUCUUAAAGUGCUUUCCAACCAGGGGUACGAGGACCCCUGCGGGUAUUUGGCCUUUCCACAGGGAGUACAUGAGAAGACGCAUGAGACCAUAGGCCAGGGUUCCCCACCUGGCAGCCCGCAGGGGUUUUUAUUUGUCCCCCCCAAGUUGAGCCUCCCUUCCAAAAAUAAUAAUAUAUUUUGUAUUUUAGACAUAAGGCUGUAAAAAUACCAGCAAAUCAGCUACAAGUGAUUUUAAUUUAAUUUUGGAAAUCUGUUCCAAAGUAUUCCCACACAUAAGAGAGAUAUGUGAUCAUACUGUACAGUGCCUUCGGGAAGUAUUCAGACCCCUUGACCUUUUCCACAUUUUGUCACGUUACAGCCUUAUUCUGAAAUGAAUUAAAUAAAACAAUUUCCUCACCAUCUACACACAAUACCCCAUAAUGACAACACGAAAUAGGUUUUUGGAAAUGUUAGCAAAUUGAUGACAUACUUAUUUACGUAUGUAUUCCGACCCUUUGCUAUUAGACUUGAAAUUGAGCUCAGGUGCAUUCUGAUUCCAUUGAUCAUCCAUGAUGUUUUUACAACUUGAUUGGAGUCCGCCUGAGGUAAAUUCAAUUGAUUGGACAUGAUUUGGAAAGGCCCACACCUGUCUAUAUAAGUUGACAGUGCAUGUCAGAGCAAGAUCCAAGCAAUGACUUCGAAGGAAUUGUCCGUAGAGCGCCGAGACAGGAUUGUGUCGAGGCACAGAUCUGGGGAAAACAUUUCCACAGCAUUGAAGGUCCCUAAGAACACAGUGGACUCCAUCAUUCUUAAAUGGAAGAAGUUUGGAACCACCAAGAGCUGGCCACCCGGUCAAACGGAGCAAUCGGGGGGGAGAAGGGCCUUGGUCAGGGAGGUGACCAAGAACCCGAUGGUCACUGACAGAGCUCUAGAGUUCCUCUGUGGAGAUGGGAGAACCUUCCAGAAGGACAACCAUCUCUGCAGCACUCCACCAAGUAGGCCUUUAUGGUAGUGUGGCAAGACGGAAGCUACUCCUCAGUAAGACACAUGACAGCCCGCUUGGAGUUGGCCAAAGACUUUGCCAAAAGACUCUCAGACCAUGAGAAACAAGAUUCUCUGGUCUGAGGAAACCAAGUUAGAAUUUUUUGGCCUGAAUGCCAAGUGCCACGUCUGGAGGAUACCUGGCAACAUCACUACAGUGAAGCAUGUUUUUCAGCUGCAGGGACUGGGAGACUAGUUAGGAUUGAGGCAAAGAUGAACAGAGCAAAGUACAGAGAGAUCCUUGAUGAAAACCUGCUCCAGAGCACUCAGGACCUCAAGCUUGGGCGAAGGUUCACCUUCCAACAAGUCAACAACCCUAAGCACACAGUCAAGACAGGCAACAUCCGCACUGAGCUAAAGGGUAGAGCUGCCGCUUUCAAAGAGCGGGACUCUAACCCGGAAGCUUAUAAGAAAUCCCGCUAUGCUCUCAGAUGAACCAUCAAAGGCAAAGCGUCAAUACAGGACUAAGAUCGAAUCGUACUACACUGGCUCCGACGCGUCGGAUGUGGCAGGGCUUGCAAACUAUUACAGACUACAAAGGGAAGCACAGACGAGAGCUUCCCAGUGACACAAGCCUACCAGACAAGCUAAAUUACUUCUAUGCUCGCUUCGAGGCAAGUAACACUGAAACAUGCAUGAGAACAUCAACUGUUCCGGAGACUGUGUGAUCAUGCUCUCCGCAGCUGAUGUAAGGCCUUUAAACAGGUCAACAGUCACAAGGCCGCAGGGCCAGACGGAUUACCAGGACACGUACUCCGAGCAUGCGCUGGCCAACUGGCAAGUGUCUUCACUGACAUUUUCAACCUCUCCCUGUCCGAGUCUGUAAUACCAACAUGUUUCAAGCAGACCACCAUAGUCCCUGUGCCCAAGAACACUAAGGUAACCUGCCUAAAGGACUACCGACCCGUAGCACUCAUGUCUGUAGCCAUGAAGUGCCUUCCCUGUAGCUCAGUUGGUAGAGCAUGGUGUUUGCAACACCAGGGUUGUGGGUUCGAUUCCCACGGGGGGCCAGCACAGGAAAAAAAAAAUGUAUGAAAUUAAAUGUAUGCAUUCACUACUGUAAGUCGCUCCGGAUAAGAGCGUCUGCUAAAUGACUAAAAAAAUAAAUAAAAAAAAGUGCUUUGAAAGGCUGGUCAUGGCUCACAUCAACACCAUUAUCCCAGAAACCCUAGAACCACUCCAAUUUGCAUACUUCCCCAACAGAUCCACAGAUGAUGCAAUCUCUAUUGCACUCCACACUGCCCUUUCACACCUGGACAAAAGGAACACCUAUGUGAGAAUGCUAUUCAUUGACUACAGCUCAGCAUUCAACACCAUAGUGCCCUCAAAGCUCAUCACGAAGCUGAGGACCCUGGGACUAAACACCUCUCUCUGCAACUGGACCCUGGACUUCCUGACGGGCCGCACCCAGGUGGUAAGGGUAGGUAACAACACAUCCGCCACGCUGAUCCUCAACACGGGCGCCCCUCAGGGGUGCGCUCUCAGUCCCCUCCUGUACUCCGUGUUCACUCAUGACAGCACAGUCAGGCACGACUCCAACACAAUCAUUAAGUUUGCAGACGACACACUAGUGGUAGACCUGAUCACCGACAAUGACGAGACAGCCUACAGGGAGGAGGUCAGAGACUUGACCGUGUGGUCCAAGGGCAACAACCUCUCCCUCAACAUGAUCAAGACAGAGGAGAUGAUUGUGGACUACAGGAAAAGGAGGCCCAAGCAUGCCCCCAUUCUCAUCGACGGGGCUGUAGUGAAGCAGGUUGAGAGCUUCAAGUAUCUUGGCAUCCACAUCACCAACAAACUAACAUGGUCCAAGUACACCAAGACUCCCGAGUGGUGCAGCGGUCUGGGCUCCCGAGUGGCGCAGCGGUCUAAGGCACUGCAUCUCAGUGCAAGAAGCAUCACUAUUGUCCCUGGUUUGAAUCCAGGCUGUAUGACAUCCGGCCGUGAUUGGGAGUCCUAUAGGGUGGCGCACAAUUGGCCCAGCGUCAUCCAGGUUUAGCCGGGUUGGGCCGUCAUUGUAAAUAAGGAUUUGUUCUUAACUGACUUAACAUGUUUUUUAAAAAAAACUUUAAAAAAAAAGAAAGACUGUCGUGAAGCUGGCACGACAACCUAUUCCCCCUCAGGAGACUGAAAAGAUUUGGCAUGGGUCCUCAGAUCGUCAAAAAGGUUCUCCAGCUGCACCAUCGAGAGCAUCCUGACGGGUUGCAUCACUGCCUGGUAUGGCAACUGCUCGGCCUCCGACCACAAGGCACUACAGAGGGUAGUGCGUACGGCCAAGUACAUCACUGGUGGCCAAGCUUCCUGCCAUCCAGGACCUCUAUACAAGCCAGUGUCAUAGGAAGGCCCUAAAAAUGGUCAAAGACUCCAGCCACCCUAGCCAUAGACUGUUCUCUCUGCUACCGCAUGGCAAGCGGUACUGGAGCGCCAAAUCUUGGUCCAAGAGGCUUCUAAACAACUUCUACCCCCAAGCCAUAAGACUCCUGAACAUCUAAUCAAAUGGCUACCCAGACUAUUUUCAUUGCCCCCCCACCCCCCUCUUUUACCCUGCUGCUCUUUGUUAUUAUCUAUGCAUAGUCACUUUAAUAACUCUACCUACAUGUACAUAUUACCUCAACUAACCGUUGUCCCCGCACAUUGACCGGUACCCCCGUAUAUAGCCUUGCUAUUGUUAUUUUACUGCUGCUCUAAUUAUUUGUAACUUUUUUUUUUCUUAACUGCAUUGUUGGUUAAGGGCUUGUAAGUAAGCAUUUCACUGUAAGGUCUACACCUGUUGUAUUUGACGCAUGUGACAAACCUGAGAUGAUCUGCAGAGUAGAAUGAGAGAAACUCAGGUGUGCCAAGAUUGUGCCAAGCUUGUAGCUUCAUACCCAAGAAGACUCGAGGCUGUAAUCACUGCCAAAUGUGCUUCAACAAAGUACUUGGUAAAGGGUCUGAAAACUUAUGUAAAUGAGAUUUCAUUUUUGUAUUUGUAAUAAAUUAGCAAAAAUUUCAAAACAGCGUUUGCUUUGUCAUUAUGGGGUAUUGUGUGGAUUGAUGAGGGGGGGGAAAAAACUAUUUCAACAAUUUUAGAAUAAGGCUGUAACCUAACAAAAUGUGGAAAAAGUCAAGGGGUCUGACUACUUUCCGAAGGCACUGCUUCUACUUCUGUAGCGCUUGCUGUUUGGGGUUUUAGGCUGGGGUUCUGUAUAGCACUUUGUGACAUCCGAUUUAAAAAGGUCUUUAAAAAUACAUUUGAUUGUAUAUACCAUACUGCUCAAAAGUUUGGGGUCACUUAAAUGUCCUUGUUUUUGAAAGAAAAGCACAUUUUUUGUCCAUUAAAAUAACUUCAAAUUG